Molecule: ribosomal RNA, 465 nt
Filed under: uncultured bacterium
Lineage: Bacteria
Description: partial 16S ribosomal RNA
Rfam family: Bacterial small subunit ribosomal RNA
Source: RNAcentral
GAUGAACGCUGGCGGCGUGCUUAACACAUGCAAGUCGAACGGUAAGGCUCCUCCUUGCAGGUGUGCUCGAGUGGCGUACGUGUGAGUUACACGAGGUUGAUCUGCCCUUCACUUCGGUCUAAGCCUGUGAAACUGGUUCUAGUACUUCAUAGGUCGCUGCUUUGGAUGUCGUUGUGGAGAUUUUUUCGGUGUGGGAUGCGCUCGCGGCCUAUCAGCUUGUUGGUGGGGUAAUGGCCUACCAAGGCGUCGACGGGUAGCCGGCCUGAGAGGGUGAACGGCCACAUUGGGACUGAGAUACGGCCCAGACUCCUACGGGAGGCAGCAGUGGGGAAUAUUGCGCAAUGGGCGGAAGCCUGAUGCAGCGACGCCGCGUGGGGGAUGACGGCCUUCGGGUUGUAAACUCCUUUCGGCAGGGACGAAGCGAAAGUGACGGUACCUGGAUAAGAAGCACCGGCUAACUACGUG